This 65-nucleotide transfer RNA is filed under the name Escherichia coli. RNAcentral's name for it is "tRNA-Gly". It matches the Rfam family "tRNA". Rfam says of the family: Transfer RNA (tRNA) molecules are approximately 80 nucleotides in length. Their secondary structure includes four short double-helical elements and three loops (D, anti-codon, and T loops). Lineage: Bacteria; Pseudomonadati; Pseudomonadota; Gammaproteobacteria; Enterobacterales; Enterobacteriaceae. The record is from RNAcentral.
GCGGGAAUAGCUCAGUUGGUAGAGCACGACCUUGCCAAGGUCGGGGUCUCCAAAUUCUUCUCUCA